Molecule: ribosomal RNA, 468 nt
Filed under: uncultured bacterium
Lineage: Bacteria
Description: partial 16S ribosomal RNA
Rfam family: Bacterial small subunit ribosomal RNA
Source: RNAcentral
GAUGAACGCUGACAGAAUGCUUAACACAUGCAAGUCUACUUGAAUUUGGGUUUUUUAACUUAGAUUUGGGUGGCGGACGGGUGAGUAACGCGUAAAGAACUUGCCUCACAGCUAGGGACAACAUUUGGAAACGAAUGCUAAUACCUGAUAUUAUGAUUAUAAGGCAUCUUAGGAUUAUGAAAGCUAUAUGCGCUGUGAGAGAGCUUUGCGUCCCAUUAGCUAGUUGGAGGGGUAACGGCUCACCAAGGCGAUGAUGGGUAGCCGGCCUGAGAGGGUGAACGGCCACAAGGGGACUGAGACACGGCCCUUACUCCUACGGGAGGCAGCAGUGGGGAAUAUUGGACAAUGGACCAAGAGUCUGAUCCAGCAAUUCUGUGUGCACGAUGACGUUUUUCGGAAUGUAAAGUGCUUCCAGUUGGGAAGAAAAAAAUGACGGUACCAACAGAAGAAGUGACGGCUAAAUACGUG